AUUUUUUUAUGUCAGGGGUUUUAUUUAACAAUAAAAACUGCAGUCUUGUGUGUGAGAUGUGCCUCCCUCAAAUCUUUUUACCACACUGGCACAUAACUUUUCUGACA
This is a small nucleolar RNA of Oryctolagus cuniculus (rabbit), 107 nucleotides long. The record is from Ensembl. Lineage: Eukaryota; Metazoa; Chordata; Mammalia; Lagomorpha; Leporidae.